This 253-nucleotide ribosomal RNA is filed under the name uncultured bacterium. Its description in RNAcentral is "partial 16S ribosomal RNA". It matches the Rfam family "Bacterial small subunit ribosomal RNA", at positions 524 to 776 of the family's 1533-position model. The record is from RNAcentral.
UACGAAGGGGGCUAGCGUUGCUCGGAAUCACUGGGCGUAAAGCGCACGUAGGCGGCUUCUUAAGUCAGGGGUGAAAUCCUGGAGCUCAACUCCAGAACUGCCUUUGAUACUGGGGAUCUCGAGUCCGGAAGAGGUGAGUGGAACUCCGAGUGUAGAGGUGAAAUUCGUAGAUAUUCGGAAGAACACCAGUGGCGAAGGCGGCUCACUGGUCCGGUACUGACGCUGAGGUGCGAAAGCGUGGGUAGCAAACAGG